AGGACGAACGCUGGCGGCGUGCUUAACACAUGCAAGUCACGGGGGCCCGCAAGGGUAACCGGCGAACGGGUGCGUAACACGUGAGCAAUCUGCCGAUCUCUGGGGGAUAGCCAGCCUAACGGCUGGGUAAUACCGCAUACGCUCAUUGGGGGGAGUCCCCUGGUGAGGAAACCUCCGGGGGAGAUCGAGGAGCUCGCGACCUAUCAGCUAGUUGGCGGGGUAACGGCCCACCAAGGCAGCGACGGGUAGCUGGUCUGAGAGGAUGGCCAGCCACAUUGGGACUGCGACACGGCCCAGACUCCUACGGGAGGCAGCAGUGGGGAAUAUUGCGCAAUGGACGAAAGUCUGACGCAGCGACGCCGCGUGUGGGAUGAAGCCUUUCGGGGUGUAAACCACUGUUGCCCGGGACGAAACUCCUCUUUCGAGAGGAUUGACGGUACCGGGUGAGGAAGCACCGGCUAACUCUGUGCCAGCAGCCGCGGUAA
This 485-nucleotide ribosomal RNA is filed under the name uncultured bacterium. RNAcentral's name for it is "SSU rRNA". It matches the Rfam family "Bacterial small subunit ribosomal RNA", at positions 26 to 523 of the family's 1533-position model. The record is from RNAcentral.